UGCGCACCGAUGCCCUAGGAUGAGGACGUUCGUCCCGUGGCGAAGGAACCCGGUGGGAAUCCGGGGCGGUUCCGCCACUGUGUAGGUUGCCUGACCGGAAUGACGGGUGACCUGAAGCCAGAUACUGGUCACGGGACAUCCGAAGAC
Regulatory RNA element from Mycobacterium sp. NAZ190054, 147 nucleotides. Lineage: Bacteria; Bacillati; Actinomycetota; Actinomycetes; Mycobacteriales; Mycobacteriaceae. The record is from Rfam.